CCUGGCAAGCAACAUGACUAAAAAGAAGUGGGAGAAUCUGGGCGUCGCUCUAGAGAUCAAUGGGCUGGAGGAGAAGCUGUCCCAGGGCCAGUGGGACCUGGAGGCCGUGAGCUGCUGGCUCCUCAGAGCAGAGCUGAGCCCCGAGGACAGCAGGUCUCUGGAGAAGGAGAGAAACAGUGUAAUGAACAGAGCUUCCAACUAUGAGAAGGAGCUGAAGUUGCUUUGGCAGGAGAACCAGAAGGAGAUGCUGCUCUCGGUGGCCAUCUUCUUCCUCCUGGCCCUGCUGUACGCACACUGGACCAUGUGAG
This is an RNA transcript of Octodon degus (degu), 308 nucleotides long. It is a transcript of the gene named coiled-coil domain-containing protein 167 pseudogene, with no coding region annotated. The record is from RefSeq and is a predicted model, not a curated record. The transcript has a single exon. NCBI's taxonomy places the organism in Eukaryota, Metazoa, Chordata, Mammalia, Rodentia, Octodontidae.